This 253-nucleotide ribosomal RNA is filed under the name uncultured bacterium. RNAcentral's name for it is "partial 16S ribosomal RNA". It matches the Rfam family "Bacterial small subunit ribosomal RNA", at positions 524 to 776 of the family's 1533-position model. The record is from RNAcentral.
UACGGAGGGUGCGAGCGUUGUCCGGAAUCAUUGGGCGUAAAGGGCGCGUAGGUGGCCCGCUCAGCGUGCGGUGAAAGCUCGGGGCUCAACCCCGAGUCGGCCGUGCGAACUGGUGGGCUGGAGCACUGGUAGAGGCAGGCGGAAUUCCGGGUGUAGCGGUGGAAUGCGUAGAGAUCCGGAAGAACACCGGUGGCGAAGGCGGCCUGCUGGGCAGUGCUGACACUGAGGCGCGACAGCGUGGGGAGCAAACAGG